RNAcentral lists this ribosomal RNA (460 nucleotides) under uncultured bacterium. RNAcentral's name for it is "partial 16S ribosomal RNA". It matches the Rfam family "Bacterial small subunit ribosomal RNA", at positions 338 to 795 of the family's 1533-position model. The record is from RNAcentral.
CCUACGGGAGGCAGCAGUGAGGAAUAUUGGUCAAUGGGCGGAAGCCUGAACCAGCCAAGUAGCGUGCAGGAUGACGGCCCUACGGGUUGUAAACUGCUUUUAUACGGGAAUAACGCGCCUUACGUGUAGGGCUUUGCAUGUACCGUAUGAAUAAGGACCGGCUAAUUCCGUGCCAGCAGCCGCGGUAAUACGGAAGGUCCGGGCGUUAUCCGGAUUUAUUGGGUUUAAAGGGAGCGUAGGCCGCAUGUCAAGCGUGCUGUGAAAUGUCAGGGCUCAACCCGGGCCUUGCAGCGAGAACUGGGGUGCUUGAGUCCGCGGAAAGCACGCGGAAUUCGUCGUGUAGCGGUGAAAUGCUUAGAUAUGACGAAGAACCCCGAUUGCGAAGGCAGCUUGCUGCAGCGGAACUGACGCUGAUGCUCGAAAGCGCGGGUAUCGAACAGGAUUAGAUACCCGGGUAGUC